AACCUAAAGAAUAUAUUCUUCUCAUUUUGCCACUUGUUUAGAAAGACUCUGGACCCAAGGACUCUAAGCACAUUAUCAAUGCUUACAGGAACGUUCAUUGGAUGGGAAGACAACACGUGCUUUCCAGAGACAUAGGAAAAUGACUGACCUAUGCCCCUCAUCAGACAAGUAAGAGCAAACACAGGGCUAGAACCAGGGACGUUUAUCUAGCCAUCCUCCAGCCUGAAUCCCAGAAUGAUGUCGCUCCAGUCUCAAAGAUUUCUAGAUAGGAAAUGUCAUCACUUGCCUUUAGAGUUCUUCUAUUUUUAACUGCAAUUUCUAAUUAGUGGUCCACAGACUUCGCAGUGUGUGUUACAAAGGACAAUCAAGCCCCCUCGUUCCCUUAUGUCCCUCUUCAAAUAGAAGGUCUGUUAGAACAUUCUCCACACAAUGAGUUUGAUCAGUAUUUAUAGUUUGCCCCCUUCUUUUAUCUCAGUGUUUUCUGGGUUCCCCUAAAAAGCUGAACCCUGAGAUUUUUUUUCGGAAGUAAUUCCAGAAACAAAAGUGGGAAACUAGAAAGAGUGAAGCAGGUAAGAGGGGAAAGCCAAUCCCAGGACGCUUUGGCAAGACAGUUGCUGCAGUGAAGAACUGGCAUUGAGUCACCGUGGGAACCUCCUGAGGAGCUGUGUGAAAAUGUCUCAGGAUUGACAAGUCACACGAGAGAAGGGAGAAGGCGCCCGAGCAGCCGAGGUGUGUGUCAGUUCCCUUGCACUUCCGGCUUUGCCCAUGGUUUGGAAUGACUGAGAAGUUCCCCACAGACAGCCACAGAGGCGGCAAAGAAGCCAAUGGUGCAGCAUGGAAGAGACUGUUGGUGAAGCUGAGGGGAGGUGCUGUCAACCACACCUGACCGGAGUUGGUUGCUGCAGCGAAGGCUGGAAAAAAGCAGGUUCACCUGAAGACCUUCUCCGUUCCCCCACUGGAAGCUGGAAAGAACCAAGACAGUGUUGGCUUGUGGUGCUACGAAAGGAAAGAGGUGGACCUGAGAAGCAGGAAGGCAGAAGAGAUCUAUAAUUUGGAAAACACGCCCCUCCCUGCAGACAGAUAGAGCAGUGGUCACACACAAAGUGGAGGAAAUCUUGCACUCCAGAGAAGAAGAAAUGCUGACAGCAGCUUGAAGAAACACCCGAUUCCCUUGAGGAUCCACAUGAAUGGUUUUCACUAUUUGCCCUACAUUCUCAGAAGACUCUGAGGGACUUCCCUAGCGGUCCAGUGGCUAAGACUCUGAGCUUCCAAUGCAAGGGAUGCCAUUUCGAUCCCUGAUCAGGGAACUAAGAUCCCACAGGGCCGCAUGGCAAAAAAUAAAAGAUGAUCACAGAUCACUCGUUAAAAAUAGAAGACUCUGACCUUAAUUUUGCUCACAUCAUGCGCCUUCACUUGCUCUGAGGUCCUACUGCUGAUAAUCAGUGCUAUGUU
This is a long non-coding RNA of Bos taurus (domestic cattle), 1452 nucleotides long. The record is from Ensembl. Lineage: Eukaryota; Metazoa; Chordata; Mammalia; Artiodactyla; Bovidae.